UUAUCUUCUUUUCCAAUUUUUCAUUUGCGUCUUAAAGACCGCUUGUUGGCUACUUGAUUGAUAAUGUUCAUAACAAUGUUUUAUCAUGCUUUUGAAAUGUUCAAUUCAAUUUUUUUUUAUAACGCGCUUAAUACCGACCGUAUCCGGGAUUUGAUCCUCUGUUGCUCUGGUUGGACUUGCUUCCAAGACCAGCGCGUUGCCCCUGUGCUAUCCUCGUGUUUACAUUAUAAAGCACUUAAGCACACAGCACUAUAUUAAUGAAAUAAAACACAAAAUGGGUGUGUGUGUAUAUAUAUCAGUGAUGUCAUCUCAAUCAGCAAUAGGAAUCAGUACAUAUCUGACACUAGAGCCUUUGCUGGCUUCCAGUAUCACAAAGAGUCACACUCAAAACACUUGCUCUGAUGCACAAAUGCCUCGCCAACCAAGCACCUAACUACCUGGCCUGCCGAUUUGCUUACCACACCUACAAUCGACCACUCAGAACCACCCAGGCAAACUGUCUCUCCAUACUUCGCUACAAGCUGCGGAAAUCAGGUGGGGCGAGCUUCCCUGUCAGCGCCGUUUAACUUUGGAACUCACUACCUAACCCUCUGAGAGCUGAACCCUCGCUCCACGCCUUUAAGAGUAAGGCCAAAGUAUGGCUGACUGCCCAGUACCUUUCCCAGCACUAACCAGCCCGCUAGCGACCUCCCCGUUCUCACUGUCUCAACUUGUUGAGCAGCUUGUGUAUAUAAAUACCUUGUAAAUUACCUGUAUUCCUAUUAACCUAUAUAUAGUCUGUGCCUGGUGAUCUGCCUUGCUUAUUUUUACCCUUUGUUAUGCCUGUUCUUCUUACACUCUGUAUGUCCCUGUAUGCUAUCUCAUGUCACCCUCUCAUGUAACCUACAAUAUGUGCCCGGAUGUCCCAGGGCCAGGUGUGCUAUAUAAAUACAUAAAAUACAAAUACAAAUCCGAGAUGUCAUCAUUGUGGUCAUAGACUGUGCAACAGGGGGGCAAAUGUUUAGGAGUCUUUAGCUAAAUUUCAGGGGUUUGUGCUGUAGCUGAAUUUCAGGGGUUUUGUUGCGAUAAGUUUUCACUUUAACGUCGCUGGAACUGCAGUUUUUUCGUUUGAAUUUCAAAGGUUUUUUACAACAUAUUACUCACCUUACUGCCCCUGCAAAUAACGUUUUUUCCUUGAAUUUCAAGGGUUUUGUUAUUGCAUAGAUUUUUUAAAUACUAGUGUGCCCACUGUCCAUUUUAAAAUACUACCAGACACUAGUCAUGGCCUUUGGCCAUGGCCGGUGGGCACAACCACUCUAUAUUUUAAAACACUUACAACCCAUCGCACAAAGACGUUCACCAAUCACAAACUGAUUUUGACCUAUUUGACAGUGGCAUUGUUAUGUAUAAAAGAUUCCAGACUUGGAGAACUCACAAUGUUUUAGGCAAUGUGCAUUGAGAUUAAAUAAUUUGCCAUGGGCCACACACUUUGCUUAAGCAGGAUGCUCCCAGCCCCUUGUUUUAUGGCCAAUCGCUUGGUGACUGCUGUGAUGCAUCGCACAACCCCAAAUAAAUGCUUUUCAGCAGCAUGGAAAAGGGAAAAAAUAACCUGCUGCAAGAAUAACAUAUGGCCAUGUACUUUGCCCCCAUAGUGAAAAUCAAAAGCUUGUACCCAUAAAUGUAUGCACAGUAAGUGAACAAAUAUGUUAGAGUAAAUUAUUCAAAUGUAGUUCAUUUGACGUUUCCAUUAAAAGAAAGUGAACAAGACAAAUUAGCAUUGGACUUUAAAAAAAAGUAUAAUAACCUAAGAGAGGAAAUGUUCCAAUAAAUAUGCUGGCAAAGUAUAAAAGCUGCUCACCAUUUAAUUAAAACAAAGCAUCGCAAAGGCCCGCAGUGGGUGUUGACGCGAUGUGAUUUCUGCCCAGCGCUCUGAAUGUCAAAGUGAAGAAAUUCAAUGAAGCGUGGGUAAACGGCAGGAGUAACUAUGACUCUCUUAAGGUAGCCAAAUGCCUCGUGAUAUAAUUAGUGACGCACAUGAAUGGAUGAACGAGAGUCCCACUGUCCCUACCUACCAUCUAGCGAAACCACAGCCAAGGGAACAGGCUUGACAGAAUCAGCAGGGAAAGAAGGUCCAGCGGUGUGUGACUCCAGUUUGGCACUGUGAAGAGACAUGAGAGGUGUAGGAUAAGUGGGAGGCCCUCACGCUGCCGGUGAAAUACCACUACUCUUAUUAUUUUUUCACUUACCAAGUGAGGUGGGGGGGAGCACCGUGGGGCUCUCGCUUCAGGCUCCAAGUGCCCGGCAUCCGCCGGGUGCAACCCGCUCCGGGGACGUUGGCAGAUGGGGAGUUUGACUGGGACGGUACACCUGUCAAAGGAUAAUGCAGGUGUCCUAAGGCAAGCCCAGGGAGGACAGAAACCUUGCACGGAGCAGAAGUGCAAAAGCUCUCUUGAUCUCGAUUUUCAGUAUGAAUACAGACCGUGUCAGAAAAGUUACCACAGGGAUAACUGGCUUGUGGCGGCCAAACGUUCAUAGCAACGUCGCUGUUUGAUCCUUCGAUGUCAGAUCUUCCAAUCAUUGUGAAGCAGAAUUCACCAAGCGUUGGAUUGUUCACCCACUAAUAGGGAACGUGAGAUGGGUUUAGACCGUCGUGAGACAGGUUAGUAUUACCAUACUGAUGAUGUGUUGUUGCAAUAGUAAUCCUGCUCAGUAUGAGAGGAACCGCAGAUUCAAACAUUUGCUGUAUGUGCUUGGCUGAGGAGCCAAUGGGGCGAAGCUACCAUCUGUGGGAUUAUGACUGAAUGCCUCUAAGUUAAACUUAACGUUACCGCAGCACUGUGGAGCCUUGGUUGGCCUAGGAUAGCCGGCAUCUGUGCUGGUGAAUAGAGAGCUGCUCAAUUCAGGACUCGAGUGUGGACAGAAGAGGGCCACCUCUCUUGCCCGUAGUACACUGCAUGUUCAUGGGCAAGCUGGUGCUAACUCAUUCGUAGACGACCUGAUUCUGGGUCCGGGAUCCAUAAGUAGCAGAGCGGCUACCUCGCUGCGAUCUAUUGAAAGUCAUCCUCUGACCCAA
This 3052-nucleotide ribosomal RNA is filed under the name Ambystoma mexicanum (axolotl). RNAcentral describes it as "eukaryotic LSU rRNA". The stretch from base 1654 to 3052 matches the Rfam family "Eukaryotic large subunit ribosomal RNA", at positions 1890 to 3393 of the family's 3401-position model. Lineage: Eukaryota; Metazoa; Chordata; Amphibia; Caudata; Ambystomatidae. The record is from RNAcentral.